Molecule: non-coding RNA, 214 nt
Organism: Pelobates cultripes (western spadefoot toad)
Lineage: Eukaryota; Metazoa; Chordata; Amphibia; Anura; Pelobatidae
Source: the annotation of a GenBank genome assembly
GAGGCACAAAUGGAGGCACACAACCGCCUAACUACUAAGGUGGAAGAAGCAUGGGACAGAUUGAAUGACUAUGAGGCCAAAAUUGCAGACAUGGAGGACCGCGCACGACGCAGUAACUUAAGACUGCAGAAUGUGCCCGAAAACAUAAGCCCCCAGGAUCUGCCCGCCUAUGCAACGGGGCUCUUCCGUCUUCUUGUACCUGACUUACCACAAG